Molecule: ribosomal RNA, 193 nt
Filed under: bacterium enrichment culture DGGE band D3
Lineage: Bacteria
Description: partial 16S ribosomal RNA
Rfam family: Bacterial small subunit ribosomal RNA
Source: RNAcentral
UACUCCUACGGGAGGCAGCAGUGGGGAAUAUUGGUCAAUGGUCGCAAGACUGAACCAGCCAUGCCGCGUGCAGGAUGACGGUCCUAUGGAUUGUAAAUUGCUUUUGUACGGGAAGAAACACUCCUACGUGUAGGGGCUUGACGGUACCGUAAGAAUAGGGAUCGGCUAACUCCGUGCCAGCAGCCGCGGUAAU